Molecule: transfer RNA, 65 nt
Filed under: Ausejanus albisignatus
Lineage: Eukaryota; Metazoa; Arthropoda; Insecta; Hemiptera; Miridae
Description: tRNA-Leu
Source: RNAcentral
ACUAUUUUGACAGAAAAAUGUGGUAAAUUUAGAAUUUAUUUAUGUAAUUUUUAUUACAAAUAGUA